CAUAUUUGAAUUGUUUUUUACAAGGGCUCCCAACUUUGAGCAUGGAAGUCUGUAUUAAUCAGAGUAGACUAGUUAUGUUCUGAUAACAAAUGGUUUAAUGUUUCGGUGCCUUAAUACAACAACAGUUGAUUUCUUGACAGCAUUUUAUGUCCUAUUCUGGUUGCGGAGCAGUGGAUUGAAGGUCCUGCUUUGUGUAGUCACUCGGGGACUCAGGCUGUCAAAGGUCCUGCCAUUCUGUAUCUACACUAUCUGAAGUGACCACUCCCUAGUUGCUCCAGCAGGGAAUAGAGGCUGAAGAAGCAUGCAUGGGCUUUUUAUUGCCUCAUAUCAAACUUGAUAUACAUCACUUAUGGUCACAUUUCAGUGGCCAGAAUUAGUUAUGUGUUCCCAGCCAACUGCAAAGGAGCAGAAAAUGCAGCCUUCUAUGUGCCAAAAAGGAGAGAACAAGGUACUGGCAAAUGGUGGUACUAUCUUCUACAUACACAGUUCGUUGGUUGAUACCAGUGUGAAUCUGUGCUGCCUAGCCGAGAGGCAGGAUCGGGUUUUCGAUGUGCUCUGAAUACCUGGGAACACUCUCCAUGGCAUUGCUUCGUUGGAAAAUCUUCUUUGAAAAGGCAACAAACUCCACCUGGAAGAACAGGUAAGUAAGUAACUAACUUAACAACUAUUUUGUGCCUUACCCUUUUAUAAAAGCCAUCCACGUACCAUUUAAUGUUCACAGAACACUUACGAAGACUCCAGGAGAGAUUUGAUGAUGCCCAUUUUACAGACAAGGAAACAAGCUCAGAUAAAUAGUUCCCCCCAAAGCCCACAGUUCCUAGUUGUAGAGCAAAGACUCAGUUCCCUUUUCUUCUGGGGAUAAAUCAUGUGUAUUUUCUGCCACAGACAGGGUCCUAAGGAAGACCAAUUUCUUUCCAUCAGGACGGGGUAUGGUUCUUGAAUCCAACACCUGAUUUCUUAUUGCAGAGGUUCCUAAGGGCUGGGUCUUUAGCGCUGAUGAAAGUCAGAUUCCAGCCGCCAGCCGUAGGAGAUACCUGCAGGCGUUCCAGCCAACCCAGAGACCUAGAAAGAAAACCCAAGCAUUCCUAACCUUUAAAAAGAUCUUAGCCUGUGGACAGAUAAAUUAACUCCAGGGCUCUGGGGAGAUUAAACCUUAUUUUAUGGUUUGCUUGUUAAAAACGCAUAACUCCAAAUCUCACCAGAGAUUGCAAUUAAGAUAGCACAGGGCUAAAGCUAUAUGAGAAGUAUUAUUUACUCCCGGUUCCCUGCAAAGUCCAAAACGACAAUGGGCUUUUCCAUUUCAUAACCCGCAGUCGAGCUGAAGCCACCUGCCUUUGUACCUAAAAUGCUUUAGGACACGUGCUUCUCUCCCAGCGCAGCUGCUACCACAGUUCUGUUAUCCUUUGUGGUUGCCCAAAGUAGCCAUAAAAACCCAAAGUUAAAACAAAGUUUCCUGGGCGUUAAUGUUCAAGAGACACCAAGAACAUUUUUUACCAUCUGCUUCUCUGCUGUUCUCACCUGAGGGGCCCUUUUUCUGUGUUCUCCUUUGAAUGCCUGACAUGUACGAGCCCCAGAUAGCUCCCUAAUUUCUAGCAAAGUCCCGGGAAAAGCCAGAUCACCCCAGAGCCGACUGAUCACACUAAAGUAUGAGGGAGAGAGCUGCCACAAGCCUUCUCAGCCAUUGCUACUGGAGACCACACACAGUGAGUCGAACACAUUUUUUCCCACUCUGGAAGUUCUGUGAAAAGUUGGUUACUCUGUGUGCUCAAAGACAAUUCCCAAGGACUGUUUAGAUUUUCUUUCUGGGGUCCUUUUUACUCCUUGAGAUUCAUGGUUGGCUUUUCGGUCUUCUGUGUGUAUAGAAGAGAUGCAUAAUGAAUUUAUGAGCGUCUUUCUGUGAGAAAUUUCAUCUUAGCCACUGUGGUGUAGUGACAGUCUUUCUCAAAUUUGUCUUUUGCAUUUUAAGACUCAUGUGGAGCGUUUGAUUCGUAUUCAGAUUCCUGACUCCAUUGAAGAGUCGCUCAACCAAGUGAUUCUUAUCAUCAAGUGAAUCUGGAGAUGCUGGUGUAGUGAAAAGAAUACUCCGUGGGGAGAUAGGAGAACUGAGUUUUAGACUAACCUUUAUUACCUACUAACUAUUUGAUCUUUAUCUCGUCUCAGUGCUUGCUAGUUGUUAAAUGCCUCCUUGCAAAAGGAGGGGCAGCUAUGAUUAAGUGUGUCAGGCAUGUUCUAAUUGCGUUGUAAGCAAAAACCCUACAAAGUAGCCUCAAGGUCACACAGCUAGUCAGAGGCAGGGCCAAGAUUCAAACAGAUUGGCUCGACUCAUGAGCCCAGCUUUCUAACUACUAUGCUGUGCUACCUCUGUAAAUAGGUUCUCUCAGCUCCAAUGUCCCACAAGUUUCUUGUAGCCAAAGAAAAGACCUCACACAAUCUAUGAGAAGUAGACCUUCCAUUGCAGCUUGCUCCAUCUCUGUCCUGGGUGAAUCCCCCUGCUCCUAAAUAACACAAAGACUCUGGACCAGCCCUGCAUUUUGUUUUUUUCUUUGCUGGUGAUUAUCUGGGGCUGAUUUGGCCAAACUUCUAAGUCUGUUGCCUAGCAAGUCCCAGCACAUCUGGAGUCCUGCUGUUGUCUCAAUUG
Molecule: long non-coding RNA, 2638 nt
Organism: Callithrix jacchus (white-tufted-ear marmoset)
Lineage: Eukaryota; Metazoa; Chordata; Mammalia; Primates; Cebidae
Source: Ensembl